This 320-nucleotide ribosomal RNA is filed under the name uncultured Prevotella sp. RNAcentral describes it as "partial 16S ribosomal RNA". The record is from RNAcentral. Lineage: Bacteria; Pseudomonadati; Bacteroidota; Bacteroidia; Bacteroidales; Prevotellaceae.
GGAGUUUGGACCGUGUCUCAGUUCCAAUGUGGGGGACCUUCCUCUCAGAACCCCUACUGAUCGCAGGCUUGGUGGGCCGUUACCCCGCCAACAACCUAAUCAGACGCAUCCCCAUCCCAUAGCGGUGAACCUUUGGUAUUCCUCAGAUGUCAUCGAAAUACAACAUAGAGCAUUAAUCCGACUUUCGCCGGGCUAUUCUCUACUAUGGGGAAGGUUGGAUACGCGUUACUCACCCGUGCGCCGGUCGUCAGCAAGAAAAGCAAGCUUUCCUCCUGUUACCCCUCGACUUGCAUGUGUUAAGCCUGUAGCUAGCGUUCAUC